RNAcentral lists this ribosomal RNA (255 nucleotides) under uncultured bacterium. Its description in RNAcentral is "partial 16S ribosomal RNA". It matches the Rfam family "Bacterial small subunit ribosomal RNA", at positions 524 to 777 of the family's 1533-position model. The record is from RNAcentral.
UACGAAGGGGGCUAGCGUUGCUCGGAAUCACUGGGCGUAAAGGGUGCGUAGGCGGGUCUUUUAAGUCAGAGGUGAAAUCCUGGAGCUCAACUCCAGAACUGCCUUUGAUACUGAGGAUCUUGAGUUCGGGAGAGGUGAGUGGAACUGCGAGUGUAGAGGUGAAAUUCGUAGAUAUUCGCAAGAACACCAGUGGCGAAGGCGGCUCACUGGCCCGGUACUGACGCUGAGGCACGAAAGCGUGGGGAGCAAACAGGG